GAUGAACGCUGGCGGCGUGCCUAAUACAUGCAAGUCGAGCGAACAGAUAAGGAGCUUGCUCCUUUGACGUUAGCGGCGGACGGGUGAGUAACACGUGGGUAACCUACCCAUAAGACUGGGAUAACUUCGGGAAACCGGAGCUAAUACCGGAUAAUAUUUCGAACCGCAUGGUUCGAUAGUGAAAGAUGGUUUUGCUAUCACUUAUAGAUGGACCCGCGCCGUAUUAGCUAGUUGGUAAGGUAACGGCUUACCAAGGCGACGAUACGUAGCCGACCUGAGAGGGUGAUCGGCCACACUGGAACUGAGACACGGUCCAGACUCCUACGGGAGGCAGCAGUAGGGAAUCUUCCGCAAUGGGCGAAAGCCUGACGGAGCAACGCCGCGUGAGUGAUGAAGGUCUUCGGAUCGUAAAACUCUGUUAUUAGGGAAGAACAUACGUGUAAGUAACUGUGCACGUCUUGACGGUACCUAAUCAGAAAGCCACGGCUAACUACGUG
Molecule: ribosomal RNA, 497 nt
Filed under: uncultured bacterium
Lineage: Bacteria
Description: partial 16S ribosomal RNA
Rfam family: Bacterial small subunit ribosomal RNA
Source: RNAcentral